CCGUCAAUGGCACUGGAAGAAUUCACGGGGUCUUGAUAGAAAUACCGUGACUUCUCCGGUGCUGUGGACGG
RNAcentral lists this non-coding RNA (71 nucleotides) under Ixodes ricinus (castor bean tick). The record is from RNAcentral. Lineage: Eukaryota; Metazoa; Arthropoda; Arachnida; Ixodida; Ixodidae.